This 493-nucleotide ribosomal RNA is filed under the name uncultured bacterium. Its description in RNAcentral is "bacterial SSU rRNA". It matches the Rfam family "Bacterial small subunit ribosomal RNA", at positions 1035 to 1529 of the family's 1533-position model. The record is from RNAcentral.
CAGGUGCUGCAUGGCUGUCGUCAGCUCGUGUCGUGAAAUGUUGGGUUAAGUCCCGCAACGAGCGCAACCCUUAUCCUUUGUUGCCAGCGGUCCGGCCGGGAACUCAAAGGAGACUGCCAGUGAUAAACUGGAGGAAGGUGGGGAUGACGUCAAGUCAUCAUGGCCCUUACGACCAGGGCUACACACGUGCUACAAUGGCGCAUACAAAGAGAAGCGACCUCGCGAGAGCAAGCGGACCUCAUAAAGUGCGUCGUAGUCCGGAUUGGAGUCUGCAACUCGACUCCAUGAAGUCGGAAUCGCUAGUAAUCGUGGAUCAGAAUGCCACGGUGAAUACGUUUCCGGGCCUUGUACACACCGCCCGUCACACCAUGGGAGUGGGUUGCAAAAGAAGUAGGUAGCUUAACCUUCGGGAGGGCGCUUACCACUUUGUGAUUCAUGACUGGGGUGAAGUCGUAACAAGGUAACCGUAGGGGAACCUGCGGCUGAUCACCUC